GCUGCAACCACGCCAAAUAUGGUGGGCAACAAUUUAGAAGAAAAUUCAAAGCUUAGGACACUUUCAUCACGUUGCUGCCUAUAAUUGUGUUUGUAUGUAUAGACAAUUUCGUUGUAGCUGGAAUUCAACACAUCUGGGCGAUAUUAAAUCACACACAAAACGUGGUUAAUUUGAUUGGAGGCGAUUAGCGAAUUUGCUAUCGCUGAAUUCACAGGAAAUUGUUACAAGUUCUUGGAAUUAGAACAAGCUCUGAAACAAAGAUUCUUGCAUUUGGAGUUCCGGUACCGGCGUGUUGGCGGUCUGAGGUUGUCACCUCACCUGUCUUAGCCUGUGUCUGGCCUGUGUAUGUAACAGGAUAAUGAAUGUACCUCAGGGUACCUCAUGGGAUAUAGAUUUGUUUCCCGAAAUUCGGACCCAUCUGGAAACAAAACUGAGAGAAAGCGAAGCCUCAGUCCACAAGAUGUUCAUCCUUAUCAAGACUCCGACUUCGAAGCGAGCGAUUUCCGAGGUGAAGAUAAGGACAAAAAAUCCAAAGUCGCAUUUGGAUUUCGACUUCGACGAUGAUGCCCUGAGCAAAGAAUACGAAAAAUUAAACCGUCUGUCCGAGAUGCUAACGAAGAGUAAAUAUCAGUUAAAAUCGAAUGAUAAAGCAACAAAUGAGCGCUUGGAUUGACUGGAAAACGAUGUGAAGAAAAUCUCCAAGGCAAUUGAUAAUUUGAAAGAUGCAGUAAAAAAGUUAACUGCUGUAAAAACCACUUUAGUUUUACAGGAUGACAAAUUGCCUAAGAAGUCAUUAAUAAGUCCAACUACAGCUAAAAAGGAGACUGAAAACGCAGCAAUGUGGCAGAAUGAGGUUAAUUUAAUGAAUAUGAAAGCUCAACCAAAAGAGCCAGCAAAUGUGCAAUUAAUUUGCUUAACCACUUGUGUAGUCAAAGCGAACUCCAGGACAGGAUUUUGUUUAAAUCGAAAAAAUCAACGAAAACACCCCUAGAUGCCGAGGGGUCACUAAACUGUUUGGUAAGUUGCGUUAUGUAUGUUGAUGCUAGAGUGUUUUGGCACAUGAAUUUCACAUUUUUGAAUCUUUGUUAGCAGUAUAAUUUUAUACGCUUUUCGAAAACUGAAUUGCAAUUGCGUCUUUACUUUAGCAGUUAUUGCCACUUAAAACACAAAAAAAGCCGCGCAAAAGGGAUUGGUACAAAAUCAUUGAUGUGACGUCACAAUAGCAACUGGUUUGACUCAUUCAUAUUACAAAAAGAAGAAAGAUGGCGGCGCAAAAAAUGCACGCAAAUAUAAAUAUGCCCAAUAGAUGGAUUGUUGGGGGUUGCUCUAAUACCUCUAAUCCGGAAAAGGAAUUUUUCUUCAUUUUAUACCGUUUCCUGGUGACGAAAGGCCAGAACCAAAAAAAAAGACGAAAGCAGAGGAUUGAUUUCGUGCUGUUGAAGAGGGAAAAUUGUAUCUGACUCCAAAUUUUACAAGAAAGAUUUCACACAAAUGUUUUCUGGUUUCUCUGGUGAGGUAUAGCGGUUAGCCACCGAUGAAAAUGGCGUUGUGCAUGGCAGCCCCUAAGUGUCACGAAGUAACAACGGAAGUCAAACCUUCGUCUGCAAGAGCUAGGAGAAUGAUAAGUUCACAAACAACGUUUCGACUGGGACAGACGGUUGUGUUGGUUGUGUCGGUUGUGCGUAUUUACUAAAAGAAAAACGGAAGACUGGGAACAAGUAUAUAGCGCUUAAAAGCAAAUACGAUGAAUUGGUGUUAAAGUUAAACAUUCCAAAGAUCUCUAUGCAAUAUUCCUUCUCCGUGAAGAAAUGCAAGUCCAGCAAAGAUAUCUUUGAUCAUUUUUCGCCCAUGCCUUUGCAAAUGAUCAGUGGAAAGAGAACAAACGUACUUAUCCAGUGUCUUUUCACAGAGAUCAAGAAUGAGCUACUUCACUGCCGUCUUGCAAAAUCCCGACAUAGACAAACGUCCCUGAAGAGCCACAUCCAAGAGUGAAGGAUUUUUGCGCAGA
Dendronephthya gigantea is the source of this 2008-nucleotide long non-coding RNA. RefSeq lists it as uncharacterized. The record is from RefSeq and is a predicted model, not a curated record. Lineage: Eukaryota; Metazoa; Cnidaria; Anthozoa; Malacalcyonacea; Nephtheidae. The transcript has 9 exons.